Hypomesus transpacificus is the source of this 991-nucleotide long non-coding RNA. RefSeq lists it as uncharacterized. The record is from RefSeq and is a predicted model, not a curated record. NCBI's taxonomy places the organism in Eukaryota, Metazoa, Chordata, Actinopteri, Osmeriformes, Osmeridae. The transcript has 4 exons.
UGUUAUUGAAGGCAUUCUUACUCUCAUCUGGAAGUGGUUAGCUGUUCGGGUAUAAAGUGGUUCAGACCAUUUCCAGGCUCUCCACUGGAUCACAAUGGAGUGGACUGUGCUGCUGUGUCUGCUGUGUGUGCAGGUCUGUGUGCUCACCUCCACAUCCCUGCAAGCCCCACACAGAGCAGCUCUAGCAGAGGAGGGGAUCCAUGACAACAAAACUACGGAAGAGGUCCUUGAUGAGCUGUGGAAUCAAGUGGAGGCUGUUACAGACGCUCCUUUCCCAGAAUUAGGAGGAUGCAAACACAGACCAGGGGGGUGUUCCCCUUUAGCCCCAAACCAGGUCUCUAGGGACAAAAGACAGACCGACUCCAAGAGAAAAAGGGGAAGAAAGGCAAAGCCACCAUCCAGAAGUGGAGGUUUCUCCCUGCUUGGUAGUUCCAGGACUAAGAGGCAGGAAAAGAAACGACCAAGAACUCUUCCGGGAUCCGGCGGUGCCCUUGGACCACAAGGACCACCUGCACCAAAUGCACCAACUGGAACACAUGGACCACCCGCCCCGAUGUCUUAGAUUCUCUCACGCUGAAGCUUCCCUCUCAAGAUGUUUCACCUUAGACAAGCAGCAUGCGCCAUCUUGGGUCAGUCGGGGAGCAACUGAUUGCAGAUCAAGAGGUCAUGUGCCCCCUGUGUGUACUUUGCUUUCAUUAGAAGCGUCUGCUAAUAAGCGUCAUAAGUUUCCUCUUGUUUUUGACUGCUGUGUCCCCUUUCCCGAGUCUGGCAGUUUUAAACAGACUUUGGAGUGCGUUUAACAAAGAUCCUGAAGGAGAUCAGCUUCGGCUGAAAACGAUAUUCUGUGGUUGCCAGAUUCAGCACGUAACUUCUGUUUCUACCACUGGGUGACAAAAGUAAGCUGUAAUGUAUCAUGCAAUUAUUUUGUUAUUCAUAAUUUGAGUGCUUGCAUAGCUUGUAAACGCUGAAUAAAGUCAGUAACAAAAAUACA